This 287-nucleotide long non-coding RNA is filed under the name Homo sapiens (human). Lineage: Eukaryota; Metazoa; Chordata; Mammalia; Primates; Hominidae. The record is from RNAcentral.
GUCCAGACUGCAGCAAGGGGAGAGAGAGCUCCAGGAAGGAUAUCUUCCAAAAAAGGGUUUACGCUGGCAGAACAUAUGGAGAGGAGAUUUCCAUUUCUGAAGCAGGGUUUGGGAUGAUUUCAGUAGAGGCACAGUCUCGCUCUGUCACCCAGGCUGGAGUGAAGUGGUCCAAUCUCAGCUCGCUGCAACUUCUGCCUCCCAGGUUCAAGCAAUUCUCUGCCUCAGCCUCCUGAGUAGCUGAGAUUACAGAUGUGCUUGCUUCACCUUAGCCCUUCUGCCAUGAUUGU